UGGGGAAUAUUGGACAAUGGGCGCAAGCCUGAUCCAGCCAUGCCGCGUGAGUGAUGAAGGCCUUAGGGUCGUAAAGCUCUUUUGUGCGGGAAGAUAAUGACGGUACCGCAAGAAUAAGCCCCGGCUAACUUCGUGCCAGCAGCCGCGGUAAUACGAAGGGGGCUAGCGUUGCUCGGAAUCACUGGGCGUAAAGGGUGCGUAGGCGGGUUCUUAAGUUAGAGGUGAAAGCCUGGAGCUCAACUCCAGAACUGCCUUUAAUACUGGGAAUCUUGAGUUCGGAAGAGGUGAGUGGAACUGCGAGUGUAGAGGUGAAAUUCGUAGAUAUUCGCAAGAACACCAGUGGCGAAGGCGGCUCACUGGUCCGAUACUGACGCUGAGGCACGAAAGCGUGGGGAGCAAACAG
Molecule: ribosomal RNA, 403 nt
Filed under: uncultured bacterium
Lineage: Bacteria
Description: bacterial SSU rRNA
Rfam family: Bacterial small subunit ribosomal RNA
Source: RNAcentral